This 1355-nucleotide ribosomal RNA is filed under the name uncultured bacterium. RNAcentral's name for it is "bacterial SSU rRNA". It matches the Rfam family "Bacterial small subunit ribosomal RNA", at positions 28 to 1381 of the family's 1533-position model. The record is from RNAcentral.
AUUGAACGCUGGCGGCAGGCUUAACACAUGCAAGUCGAACGAUGAUUAUCUAGCUUGCUAGAUAUGAUUAGUGGCGGACGGGUGAGUAACAUUUAGGAAUCUGCCUAGUAGUGGGGGAUAGCUCGGGGAAACUCGAAUUAAUACCGCAUACGACCUACGGGUGAAAGGGGGCGCAAGCUCUUGCUAUUAGAUGAGCCUAAAUCAGAUUAGCUAGUUGGUGGGGUAAAGGCCCACCAAGGCGACGAUCUGUAACUGGUCUGAGAGGAUGAUCAGUCACACCGGAACUGAGACACGGUCCGGACUCCUACGGGAGGCAGCAGUGGGGAAUAUUGGACAAUGGGGGCAACCCUGAUCCAGCCAUGCCGCGUGUGUGAAGAAGGCCUUUUGGUUGUAAAGCACUUUAAGCAGGGAGGAGAGGCUAAUGGUUAAUACCCAUUAGAUUAGACGUUACCUGCAGAAUAAGCACCGGCUAACUCUGUGCCAGCAGCCGCGGUAAUACAGAGGGUGCGAGCGUUAAUCGGAAUUACUGGGCGUAAAGCGAGUGUAGGUGGCUCAUUAAGUCACAUGUGAAAUCCCCGGGCUUAACCUGGGAACUGCAUGUGAUACUGGUGGUGCUAGAAUAUGUGAGAGGGAAGUAGAAUUCCAGGUGUAGCGGUGAAAUGCGUAGAGAUCUGGAGGAAUACCGAUGGCGAAGGCAGCUUCCUGGCAUAAUAUUGACACUGAGAUUCGAAAGCGUGGGUAGCAAACAGGAUUAGAUACCCUGGUAGUCCACGCCGUAAACGAUGUCUACUAGCCGUUGGGGUCCUUGAGACUUUAGUGGCGCAGUUAACGCGAUAAGUAGACCGCCUGGGGAGUACGGCCGCAAGGUUAAAACUCAAAUGAAUUGACGGGGGCCCGCACAAGCGGUGGAGCAUGUGGUUUAAUUCGAUGCAACGCGAAGAACCUUACCUGGUCUUGACAUAGUGAGAAUCCUGCAGAGAUGCGGGAGUGCCUUCGGGAAUUCACAUACAGGUGCUGCAUGGCUGUCGUCAGCUCGUGUCGUGAGAUGUUGGGUUAAGUCCCGCAACGAGCGCAACCCUUUUCCUUAUUUGCCAGCGGGUUAAGCCGGGAACUUUAAGGAUACUGCCAGUGACAAACUGGAGGAAGGCGGGGACGACGUCAAGUCAUCAUGGCCCUUACGACCAGGGCUACACACGUGCUACAAUGGUAGGUACAGAGGGUUGCUACACAGCGAUGUGGUGCUAAUCUCAAAAAGCCUAUCGUAGUCCGGAUUGGAGUCUGCAACUCGACUCCAUGAAGUCGGAAUCGCUAGUAAUCGCAGAUCAGAAUGCUGCGGUGAAUACGUUCCCGGGCCU